This 4454-nucleotide long non-coding RNA is filed under the name Gossypium barbadense (sea-island cotton). RNAcentral's name for it is "long non-coding RNA (GBAR_LNC013843)". The record is from RNAcentral. Lineage: Eukaryota; Viridiplantae; Streptophyta; Magnoliopsida; Malvales; Malvaceae.
CUCAAAAGCCCGUUACGAGCACAAUAAUAUAUGUAAUCCACGGCGCACGCCUGCGUAAAAAAAGCGAUUCCAACAAUACCAAAUUGUUGGCCAACAUCAAGAACCCAUGGAAGGAAAGCAUCAUAGAGUAUGCAAUCAAUAGGAUGGGGUGAGUUCUUAUGCUUUAUGAUAAGUUCGGUCAAGGUUUUUGACCCAACAGUUUGUAAUCGUACAAGGUAAUCAUCAACACUCUCGACUUGUAAGAAUCCGCCUUUAUCACAACCGUCUGAAAUUGUGUCGAAAUUGAUGUCGGAGUUGAGUAAUUCGGGUUUCAUGGUUUCGGAGAUGAAGACAGUGGUGGCAAAGGUUGCUUUGAGUCCUUUGGAGGAUAAGCGUUUGGAGAAUUGAAGCAUUGGGUUAAUAUGGCCUUGGCUUGGAUAAGGAAUGACCAAUACAUGAACCCUUUUGUUAGCUUUUUUCUCCAUUGGUUUUUGUUCUCCAAUAUAAUUUAUGAUCUUCAAGAAUAUUGGAGUAUGCUAUUUAUAUUGGUAGAGUGUGUAAGACCACGACUAAUCUUAAAAGGAGUGGAUGGAAAAAGGAUUAUGUCAUAUCAAUGGAUAGAGCUCUAUCGUCCCAAUUAUAGGGAAACAAUAAAGUAACGAGCUUUUCUUUGAGUUGUUUAUCUUCAUAACCGAUCGAGUAUAUUUUUUGAUACAAUGUAUAGAAUUAUUAAUAACUCCUAACCCUUAAAUAAGUGAAUAAACGCGUUUCAACACACUCGAACUCACGUCGUCCUACAUUGCCAAUAAUAUUCACACCAAUCGAACCAAUACUGAAUUGACACAUAUUAAAUAUAUUUUGAAAUAUCAAUCAAUAUCAAAAUAUGAGUAAAAAAUAAAACGAUAUAUAGGUUUACAAGUGUGGAAGGAUUUUGAUCAUAGGAUCUCAGAAAAAUAUAGAUAAGAUGAUUUCAUCCACACAAAAUAUAGGCAAUAUUUUCAACUUUACACCGAAUACAAACAAUGUUCCUUGAUUGAAUCUAAAAUUAUUGAACCAUCCAUCCCUUUCAUGAUAAUGAUACCUUUUGGGUUCAAACGUUCAAUAAUUCAACAAAUAUUCUUCUACCACAUACUAUACGUAGACUUGUACAGCCCGACCCGAAGGUCUGUCCGAAAAAUAAAAAUAUUUGGAUAAAAAUAUAAGCUUAAUUGCUUAUAAGAUGAGUUUCGGUAAAAAAAUAAGGCUCGUUUAGAAAACGGGUUGAGUCCUAGGUAAAGUUUUUUGGCCCCGAGCCUGGCCCAGAUACAUGUCUAAAAGCAUCGAUACCCUUAACAAAGUAUUUGUACUUUCACAAAAGUAUUGAUACCCUGCUUAAGGUUAGAUGUUUUGAAAAUUAAAGAAAAAUUGCUUGAGUGUCGAUACCCUCUCUAAGGUGUUGAUACCACAUAAUGUAUCGAGAUUAUAGGUUUUAAUACAGGUCAGGUCAGUCCGGGCCCGAGGUUAGCAUAUAUAAUCUAGGCCGGGUUUGGGUAAAAAUUUACACCCAAUUUUGGGCUGAACUUAAAAUUUUGUUGAAACUCGGCCUGACACAUGGAUAACUCUAAUCACAUAUAUUUCUUUUUACCUCGUUCCGUAUUAAAUUUUGAUUAAUUUAGAGUUAAAUUUUUAAAUAAGAAGCAAAACUCUUUUAACAUAGUUGUCUCCGUUUAUAAAAUUUGAAUUUUAAAACAAAGAUAUAAGUUUCUUAUCUCUCGACAUAAUAAGCAUUGAUAGAGACAAUGAUGAAUCCAGUACAUAUUAUAAAAGAAGUCAAAAAUAUUACUAAUGGCAGCAAUAGAACCACUUGUUCCCUUUGUAUCAAAUUUUCAAUUUUAUAACAUUUUAUUUUUUAUUUUUUAUAUGUCAUAUGAAUAUUAAAAAUAUAACAUUAUAAUAUAAAUAUUAAAUAAUAUUUACGCUUAAAUAUUAUAAAAUUCAGUCCAUGCAAAAAAUGUUUAUCAGGAAUUUUGAGAACUCUUUACAUCCAUUGUACCAGAGCCGAAUAAUCAUAUCGAUUUAAGAAAUUUUGAGUGAAAUUUGUGUUCAAUUUGAUCAUAAUUGAGUCACUCUAGUUUUUACCUAUUUUCUAAUAACAUAUAAUAUGUGUUAUUGCAUAAAUCAAUUGAACUAAGUCUCGGAUUUGUGAUUUUAAGUAUUUUGUUUACUAAGAACACUAACCCUAUUUACAUCGUGCCAAUAUUUUAGAGACCAAUUCAUCAAUAUUCUUGUCCGAACUUCCACCUUCGCAUACUGCUUCCACAGCCAAUUCCUUCCAUUUCAUAGCAUUUCUUUUCAUUUCAAUCCCUUGUUCCCCUUCCAUCACUUGUCUAAUACACCUCUCUAUUUCAUCUCCACUCACAAUCCCAUCCUCCCUCACAUUAACUCGAACCCCAACUUUCCAAACAUCCUCAACUAGCUUAGCAUCCGUGGUUUGGUCGGCCCACUGUGGCAUCGCCACCAUCGGUACCCCCAAACACAAGGCCUCAAUCGUCGAGUUCCACCCACAAUGCGUGAAAAAACACCCUAUGGCCUCAUUCGCAAGUACCUCGGUUUGUGGUAUCCAAGUAACUAUCAAUGCUUUAUCACCCAUUUCCUCAAUGAACCCGUGUGGGACUUUCGGUAACUCGGAAGACCGAACCACCCACAAGAGAUGAAACCCAGUUUGCUUUAAACCCCGUGCGAGUUCCUUCAUUUGGUUGCUGGUUAGGUUAGCCAAGCUUCCAAAUGAGACGUAAACGACCGAGCAUGGUGGCUUGGUGGUUAGCCAACAUGUACUGGUAGAGUCUAGUUUAAAGAGAUUGAGAUCGUAAUCUUUGUCGUUUUCAAGUCUUUUAUCUACACACAUGGAUGGGAUUGUUGGGCCUAUCGUUAACAAUGGUUGAGUCAUCACCUUCGACAUUGAAUCAACAACCUGUUUAUAGCAAAGAGAUCGUUACAAAAUGGUAAAAGUACCUUGCAUGUCCUUAUACCACUUGCUGCAUUUUGGUUUUUAUACUUUUAAAAAUAGUAACAAUAUAAUAGCGAAAUAAUAACAAAUCAAUAAAAAACAGUGAUAAAAUAGCAAAAGCUUUUUUUUUUACAAAUUCGUGCCGAGCCUAGGCAAAAAAAAGCUUUCCCAUUUUUCGGGCUUAUAUUUUCCCAAAAUCUUCUCACUUUUCGGGCUGCCCUUCGGGUUGAACUGGGUGACUCGGCCCAUGUAUAAGUCUAGGUUUUAGUUAGGGUUUUGAAACCAGUUCUCUAGCUAUCACUACCACCCGGGUGAAUAAAGAUUUUUUUUGUCUCAAUUUGGUACUUAAGUUUGGCUUAAAUGUUCAAUUUGAUACCUGAGUUUUUUUUGUCCCAGUUAGGUAUUUGUGUUUUUCUACAAGAAAACACAAGUCAAAGAUUCAUUAGGCAAUAUGAUGUCGUUUGGUUUAAAUACCAAAUUGAAUAUUGAAAUUAAACUUAAAUAUCAAAUUGAAAAGAAAAAAACUUAAAUACCAAAUUUGAAACUAAACUUAAUACUAAAUGAUAUAUUAAACGCUUGAAUUUCUAGAAAAAAAGAUAAAUUUAGUAUAAUAAUAAAAUGAAAUAUUUAAAUACUAUUAAUUUAUAUUGAUAUGAUUGACAUCGAAAAUUAUUAUUAAUUGAAGUUAUUAUUAACUAAGCCCAAAAUUAUUAGAGCAGAACUCAAUCAAGUCCUAUAAUUGAGAAGAAAAUUGAGAGAGAGAGAGAGAGAGAGAGCUUUGUAUAGUUAAAAGUAAACUAACCUCUUGUUCCAACUUGUAGAAGGUAUUAACUAAAAUGAAAUCAGCUUUGUCUAUAUUAGAGAAUUGAUUCAACACCAACUUGAAAUGAGAUGGAUACGAACCCACAACAUAGAUAAAUGAUGGCAUGUCUCGAAGAUCAAGCAACGGCAACCCGGGAAUGACAAUUGGCAUCAUUGACGAUGAAAUCGGAAGACUCAAAAGCCCAUUAUGAACAUAAUAAUAUAUGUAAUCCACAGCGCACGCCUGCGUAAAAAAAGCGAUUCCAACAAUACCAAAUUGUUGGGCAACAUCAAGAACCCAUGGAAGGAAAGCGUCAUAGAGUAUGCAAUCAAUAGGAUGAGGUGAGUUCUUAUGCUUUAUGAUAAGUUCGGUCAAGGUUUUUGACCCAACAGCUUGUAAUCGUACAAGGUAAUCGUCAAUAUCCCCGAGUGCAAAGAAUCCCUCUUUAUCACAACCGUCUGAUAUCGUGUCGAAAUCGAUUUCGGAGUUGAGCAAUUCGGGUUUCAUGGUUUCAGAGAUGAAGACAGUGGUGGCAAAGGUUGCUUUGAGUCCUUUGGAGGAUAAGCGUUUGGAGAAUUGAAGCAUUGGGUUAAUAUGGCCUUGCGUCGAAUAAGGAAUGACCAAUACAUGACCCCUUUUGUUAACUUUUUUCUCCAUUUGCUUUUGUUCUCCAAUAUAAUUUAUGAU